This 252-nucleotide ribosomal RNA is filed under the name uncultured Acholeplasma sp. RNAcentral describes it as "partial 16S ribosomal RNA". It matches the Rfam family "Bacterial small subunit ribosomal RNA", at positions 1132 to 1382 of the family's 1533-position model. The record is from RNAcentral. Lineage: Bacteria; Bacillati; Mycoplasmatota; Mollicutes; Acholeplasmatales; Acholeplasmataceae.
GGGGACGUCUAGCGAGACUGCCAGUGAGUAAACUGGAGGAAGGUGGGGAUGACGUCAAAUCAUCAUGCCCCUUAUGACCUGGGCUACAAACGUGAUACAAUGGCUGAAACAAAGGGCAGCGAAGCAGUGAUGUGAAGCGAAACCCAAAAAAGCAGUCUCAGUUCGGAUUGAAGUCUGCAACUCGACUUCAUGAAGUCGGAAUCGCUAGUAAUCGCGAAUCAGAACGUCGCGGUGAAUACGUUCUCGGGGUUU